GUGACUAUCAACGAAGUAACCAGAGACAUCAUGAAGUAUCAAAUUAUUGUCUUACUUUUAGCUGCGAUGCUGCUGUUCGUAUCUUGUGAAGGAGAUGAACAAGAAACAGAACAAGGAUCAGAAGGUGAAGGUGAAGGUGAAGCUGAAGAGAGUGGAAAGGGAAAAGGAAGUAAAUGCAAUCAUAAAAAAGGAAAGAAGGGAGAUAGUUAAGAAAAGUAACCUAUCCGAUUGAAUAACUGAUGUUAAAGUUAAUUUAAUUUUCUUUUCUUUAAUUCUCCAUAAUCUAUUACUUUAAAAUAAGUAUCCGACAAUUUAAAAGCUAAUCAAUCAUAUAUGGAAUUCACGAGAAAAUCUUUAUUUAGGUUAUAUUUAUGUCAUAUUUGUGACAUAUGCAAUGUAAUUUUACGUAUGCUCAAUAAAUGCUGUUAAUUA
This is a long non-coding RNA of Centruroides sculpturatus (bark scorpion), 432 nucleotides long. RefSeq lists it as uncharacterized. Lineage: Eukaryota; Metazoa; Arthropoda; Arachnida; Scorpiones; Buthidae. The transcript is spliced from 2 exons. The record is from RefSeq and is a predicted model, not a curated record.